GGAUUCUACCAUUGGUCGGGCAAUAGUCUGUACUGGUGUGUAGAAUUUCUACCUUCUGGGGAACUAUCAUGUUAUUUAUUUAGCGUGGUAGGAAACCAGGACCUUUACCUUGAAAAAAUUAGAGUGUUUAAAGCAGGCUCACGCUUGAAUACAUUAGCAUGGAAUAAUAGAAUAGGACUU
Molecule: ribosomal RNA, 180 nt
Filed under: uncultured Glomeromycotina
Lineage: Eukaryota; Fungi; Glomeromycota
Description: partial small subunit ribosomal RNA
Rfam family: Eukaryotic small subunit ribosomal RNA (bases 37-180)
Source: RNAcentral